Molecule: ribosomal RNA, 460 nt
Filed under: uncultured bacterium
Lineage: Bacteria
Description: partial 16S ribosomal RNA
Rfam family: Bacterial small subunit ribosomal RNA
Source: RNAcentral
CCUACGGGCGGCAGCAGUGAGGAAUAUUGGUCAAUGGACGAGAGUCUGAACCAGCCAAGUAGCGUGAAGGAUGACUGCCCUAUGGGUUGUAAACCUCUUUUAUAAAGGAAUAAAACGAGGCACGUGUGCCUUUUUGCAUGUACUUUAUGAAUAAGGAUCGGCUAACUCCGUGCCAGCAGCCGCGGUAAUACGGAGGAUCCGAGCGUUAUCCGGAUUUAUUGGGUUUAAAGGGAGCGUAGAUGGGUUGUUAAGUCAGUUGUGAAAGUUUGCGGCUCAACCGUAAAAUUGCAAUUGAUACUGGCAGUCUUGAGUACAGGUGAGGUAAGCUGAAUUCGUGGUGUAGCGGUGAAAUGCUUAGAUAUCACGAAGAACCCCGAUUGCGAAGGCAGCUUACUAACCUGUGACUGACAUUGAUGCUCGAAAGUGUGGGUAUCGAACAGGAUUAGAUACCCCAGUAGUC